RNAcentral lists this ribosomal RNA (429 nucleotides) under Actinomycetes bacterium. Its description in RNAcentral is "Actinobacteria bacterium partial 16S ribosomal RNA". It matches the Rfam family "Bacterial small subunit ribosomal RNA", at positions 355 to 776 of the family's 1533-position model. The record is from RNAcentral. Lineage: Bacteria; Bacillati; Actinomycetota; Actinomycetes.
UAGGGAAUCUUCCGCAAUGGGCGAAAGCCUGACGGAGCAACGCCGCGUGAGUGAUGAAGGUCUUCGGAUCGUAAAACUCUGUUAUUAGGGAAGAACAAAUGUGUAAGUAACUAUGCACGUCUUGACGGUACCUAAUCAGAAAGCCACGGCUAACUACGUGCCAGCAGCCGCGGUAAUACGUAGGUGGCAAGCGUUAUCCGGAAUUAUUGGGCGUAAAGCGCGCGUAGGCGGUUUUUUAAGUCUGAUGUGAAAGCCCACGGCUCAACCGUGGAGGGUCAUUAGAAACUGGAACACUUGAGUGCAGAAGAGGAAAGUGGAAUUCCAUGUGUAGCGGUGAAAUGCGCAGAGAUAUGGAGGAACACCAGUGGCGAAGGCGACUUUCUGGUCUGUAACUGACGCUAAUGUGCGAAGGCGUGGGGAUCAAACAGG